RNAcentral lists this ribosomal RNA (199 nucleotides) under Vibrio sp. RNAcentral describes it as "16S ribosomal RNA". It matches the Rfam family "Bacterial small subunit ribosomal RNA", at positions 335 to 526 of the family's 1533-position model. Lineage: Bacteria; Pseudomonadati; Pseudomonadota; Gammaproteobacteria; Vibrionales; Vibrionaceae. The record is from RNAcentral.
ACUCCUACGGGAGGCAGCAGUGGGGAAUAUUGCACAAUGGGCGCAAGCCUGAUGCAGCCAUGCCGCGUGUGUGAAGAAGGCCUUCGGGUUGUAAAGCACUUUCAGUCGUGAGGAAGGYGGUGUAGUUAAUAGCAGCAUUAUUUGACGUUAGCGACAGAAGAAGCACCGGCUAACUCCGUGCCAGCAGCCGCGGUAAUAC